RNAcentral lists this ribosomal RNA (489 nucleotides) under uncultured bacterium. Its description in RNAcentral is "bacterial SSU rRNA". It matches the Rfam family "Bacterial small subunit ribosomal RNA", at positions 29 to 533 of the family's 1533-position model. The record is from RNAcentral.
AACGAACGCUGGCGGCAGGCUUAACACAUGCAAGUCGAACGCUCGUAGCAAUACGGGAGUGGCGGACGGGUGAGUAACGCGUGGGAACGUGCCCUGAGGUACGGAAUAACUGCGGGAAACUGCAGCUAAUACCGUAUGAGCCCCUAACGGGGGAAAGAUUUAUCGCCUUGGGAGCGGCCCGCGUCGGAUUAGCUAGUUGGUGGGGUAACGGCCUACCAAGGCUUCGAUCCGUAGCUGGUCUGAGAGGACGAUCAGCCACACUGGGACUGAGACACGGCCCAGACUCCUACGGGAGGCAGCAGUGGGGAAUCUUGCGCAAUGGGGGCAACCCUGACGCAGCCAUGCCGCGUGAAUGAUGAAGGCCUUAGGGUUGUAAAGUUCUUUCGGCCGGGAAGAAAUCGCAUGGGUUAAUACCCUGUGCGGAUGACGGUACCGGCAUAAGAAGCACCGGCUAACUACGUGCCAGCAGCCGCGGUAAGGCACGACUGU